This 375-nucleotide ribosomal RNA is filed under the name uncultured organism. Its description in RNAcentral is "partial 16S ribosomal RNA". It matches the Rfam family "Bacterial small subunit ribosomal RNA", at positions 527 to 896 of the family's 1533-position model. The record is from RNAcentral.
GUAGGUGGCAAGCGUUGUCCGGAAUUAUUGGGCGUAAAGCGCGCGCAGGCGGUUCUUUAAGUCUGAUGUGAAAGCCCACGGCUCAACCGUGGAGGGUCAUUGGAAACUGGAGAACUUGAGUACAGAAGAGGAAAGCGGAAUUCCACGUGUAGCGGUGAAAUGCGUAGAGAUGUGGAGGAACACCAGUGGCGAAGGCGGCUUUCUGGUCUGUAACUGACGCUGAGGCGCGAAAGCGUGGGGAGCAAACAGGGAUUAGAUACCCUGGUAGUCCACGCCGUAAACGAUGAGCGCUAAGUGUUAGGGGGGUUUUCCGCCCCCUUAGUGCUGCAGCUAACGCAUUAAGCACUCCGCCUGGGGAGUACGGCCGCAAGGCUG